Molecule: non-coding RNA, 29 nt
Filed under: Rattus norvegicus (Norway rat)
Lineage: Eukaryota; Metazoa; Chordata; Mammalia; Rodentia; Muridae
Source: RNAcentral
CUCAGUGAUGCACACUGUUGUGCUGAGGC